Molecule: ribosomal RNA, 222 nt
Filed under: uncultured bacterium
Lineage: Bacteria
Description: partial 16S ribosomal RNA
Rfam family: Bacterial small subunit ribosomal RNA
Source: RNAcentral
UGAGCAAUCUGCCCUUCUCAUCGGAAUAAGCGUUGGAAACGACGUCUAAUGCCGAAUACGACCUCCUUUCGCAUGAUCGGAGGUGGAAAGCUCCGGCGGAGAAGGAUGAGCUCGCGGCCUAUCAGCUAGUUGGUGUGGGUAAUGGCCCACCAAGGCGACGAUCCGUAGCUGGUCUGAGAGGAUGGCCAGCCACAUUGGGACUGAGACACGGCCCAGACUCCG